CCUACGGGAGGCAGCAGUGAGGAAUAUUGGUCAAUGGGCGAGAGCCUGAACCAGCCAAGUCGCGUGAGGGAGUACUGCCCUAUGGGUUGUAAACCUCUUUUGUCGGGGAGCAAAAGCCGGACGUGUCCGGCUGUGAGAGUACCCGAAGAAAAAGCAUCGGCUAACUCCGUGCCAGCAGCCGCGGUAAUACGGAGGAUGCGAGCGUUAUCCGGAUUUAUUGGGGUUAAAGGGUGCGCAGGCGGAUUUUUAAGUCAGCGGUCAAAUCGUGGGGCUCAACCCCAUCCAGCCGUUGAAACUGGGGAUCUAGAGUGUGCGAGAGGUAUGCGGAAUGCGUGGUGUAGCGGUGAAAUGCAUAGAUAGCACGCAGAACCCCGAUUGCGAAGGCAGCAUACCGGUGCACAACUGACGCUCAGGCACGAAAGCGUGGGUAUCGAACAGGAUUAGAUACCCGGGUAGUC
RNAcentral lists this ribosomal RNA (458 nucleotides) under uncultured bacterium. RNAcentral's name for it is "partial 16S ribosomal RNA". It matches the Rfam family "Bacterial small subunit ribosomal RNA", at positions 338 to 795 of the family's 1533-position model. The record is from RNAcentral.